GCCCAAGUAGUCUAGCGGUCAGGAUAGAACCCUGUCACGGUUCAGACCCGAGUUCGAAUCUCGGCUUGGGCG
This 72-nucleotide transfer RNA is filed under the name Nanobdellota archaeon. Its description in RNAcentral is "tRNA-Asp". It matches the Rfam family "tRNA". Rfam says of the family: Transfer RNA (tRNA) molecules are approximately 80 nucleotides in length. Their secondary structure includes four short double-helical elements and three loops (D, anti-codon, and T loops). Lineage: Archaea; Nanobdellati; Nanobdellota. The record is from RNAcentral.